GCCAGUAGUCAUAUGCUUGUCUCAAAGAUUAAGCCAUGCAUGUCUAAGUACAUGCCGUAUUAAGGCGAAACCGCGAAUGGCUCAUUAAAUCAGUUAUGGUUCCUUGGAUCGUACCUUACUACUUGGAUAACUGUGGUAAUUCUAGAGCUAAUACAUGCAGCAGAGCUCCGACCUUCGGGGACGAGCGCUUUUAUUAGACCAAAACCAAUCGGACUCUGUCCGUCUCUCGUGGUGACUCUGAAUAACUUUGGGCUGAUCGCACGGGCCCGUCCCGGCGACGUAUCUUUCAAGUGUCUGCCUUAUCAACUUUCGAUGGUAGGUUACGCGCCUACCAUGGUCGUAACGGGUAACGGGGAAUCAGGGUUCGAUUCCGGAGAGGGAGCCUGAGAAACGGCUACCACAUCCAAGGAAGGCAGCAGGCGCGCAAAUUACCCACUCCCAGAACGGGGAGGUAGUGACGAAAAAUAACAAUACGGGACUCUUUUGAGACCCCGUAAUUGGAAUGAGUACACUCUAAAUCCUUUAACGAGGAUCCAUUGGAGGGCAAGUCUGGUGCCAGCCGCCGCGGUAACUCCAGCUCCAAUAGCGUAUAUUAAAGUUGUUGCGGUUAAAAAGCUCGUAGUUGGAUCUCAGUUCCAGACGGGUGGUCCGCCUACCGGUGGUUACUGCCUGUUCUGAACAGCCAGCCGGUUUCUCUUGAUGAUCUUCACCGGUUGUCUUGGGUGACCGGCAAGUUUACUUUGAAAAAAUUAGAGUGCUCAAAGCAGGCGCGACGCCUGAAUAAUGGUGCAUGGAAUAAUGGAAUAGGACCUCGGUUCUAUUUUGUUGGUUUUCGGAACACGAGGUAAUGAUUAAGAGGGACAGACGGGGGCAUUCGUAUUGCGACGCUAGA
Molecule: ribosomal RNA, 892 nt
Filed under: Chrysilla volupe
Lineage: Eukaryota; Metazoa; Arthropoda; Arachnida; Araneae; Salticidae
Description: SSU rRNA
Rfam family: Eukaryotic small subunit ribosomal RNA
Source: RNAcentral